This 253-nucleotide ribosomal RNA is filed under the name uncultured bacterium. Its description in RNAcentral is "partial 16S ribosomal RNA". It matches the Rfam family "Bacterial small subunit ribosomal RNA", at positions 524 to 776 of the family's 1533-position model. The record is from RNAcentral.
UACAGAGGGGGCAAGCGUUGUUCGGAAUUACUGGGCGUAAAGGGCGCGUAGGCGGCCUUCUAAGUCGAACGUGAAAUCCCCGGGCUCAACCCGGGAACUGCGUCCGAUACUGGAAGGCUUGAAUCCGGGAGAGGGAUGCGGAAUUCCUGGUGUAGCGGUGAAAUGCGCAGAUAUCAGGAGGAACACCGGUGGCGAAGGCGGACCUCUGGGCCUUACCUGACGCUCAGGUGCGAAAGCUAGGGGAGCGAACAGG